UGAGGUUGAGUUUAAUAAAGCUGCACAAUCUUUGACUGAUGCUGUGGUUCCCAUUGCCCAAAAGAAGACUGCAUUAAAUCGUUUGGUUAAGGAUAAUGUUGCACUUAUAGUGGUUUUGGAAGCGAAGUUCAGCAACCAGGGGGUUGACAACCCUGGGAAGCGUCAACUAGUUUGUGUGGCCAACACACAUGUAAACGUUCAGCAAGAAUUAAGGGAUGUCAAACUGUGGCAGGUUCACACACUUCUUAAAGGACUUGAAAAAAUCGCUGCCAGUGCCGACAUCCCAAUGCUGGUCUGUGGAGAUUUUAAUUCGAUGCCCGGAAGUGCUCCUCAUACACUUCUUGCCUUGGGGAAAGUUGAUCCAAUGCAUCAAGAUCUAGUAGUGGAUCCUCUUGGUAUUUUGCGUCCAGCUUCAAAGUUAACACACCAGCUCCCAUUGGUUAGUGCUUAUUCAUCCUUUGCCAGAAUGGGGGUGGGACUUGGACUAGAGCAGCAAAGGAGAAGGAUGGAUCCUAAUACCAAUGAGCCCUUGUUUACCAACUGCACCAGAGAUUUUAUUGGCACUCAUGAUUAUAUAUUCUACUCAGCUGAUUCAUUAACUGUUGAAUCUUUAUUGGAGCUCUUGGAAGAAGAAAGCUUGAGAAAGGACACAGCACUUCCUUCUCCAGAGUGGUCGUCUGAUCAUAUAGCACUCUUAGCUGAGUUCCGGUGCAAGCCGAGAACUAGACGCUGAUGAUGGGUCUCACUGCAAAGGAUGAGUUCAAAAAUAGAAGCAGAAACAAUUACAAGGAUGAAAGAUAAGUUAUUGUAAGAAUAGUAGAUGGAGGCGCCUUGUUCUUUUUUUAUUUCUCCUUUUUCUC
RNAcentral lists this unclassified non-coding RNA (860 nucleotides) under Hevea brasiliensis (rubber tree). Lineage: Eukaryota; Viridiplantae; Streptophyta; Magnoliopsida; Malpighiales; Euphorbiaceae. The record is from RNAcentral.